Molecule: ribosomal RNA, 428 nt
Filed under: Pseudomonadota bacterium
Lineage: Bacteria; Pseudomonadati; Pseudomonadota
Description: Proteobacteria bacterium partial 16S ribosomal RNA
Rfam family: Bacterial small subunit ribosomal RNA
Source: RNAcentral
UGGGGAAUAUUGGACAAUGGGCGAAAGCCUGAUCCAGCCAUGCCGCGUGUGUGAAGAAGGUCUUCGGAUUGUAAAGCACUUUAAGUUGGGAGGAAGGGCAGUAAGCGAAUACCUUGCUGUUUUGACGUUACCGACAGAAUAAGCACCGGCUAACUCUGUGCCAGCAGCCGCGGUAAUACAGAGGGUGCAAGCGUUAAUCGGAAUUACUGGGCGUAAAGCGCGCGUAGGUGGUUCGUUAAGUUGAAUGUGAAAGCCCCGGCUCAACCUGGGAACUGCAUCCAAAACUGGCGAGCUAGAGUAGGGCAGAGGGUGGUGGAAUUUCCUGUGUAGCGGUGAAAUGCGUAGAUAUAGGAAGGAACACCAGUGGCGAAGGCGACCACCUGGGCUCAUACUGACACUGAGGUGCGAAAGCGUGGGGAGCAAACAGG